UUAAGUUAUUAAGGGCGCACGGUGGAUGCCUUGGCACUAGAAGCCGAUGAAGGACGUUACUAACGACGAUAUGCUUUGGGGAGCUGUAAGUAAGCUUUGAUCCAGAGAUUUCCGAAUGGGGAAACCCAGCAUGAGUUAUGUCAUGUUAUCGAUAUGUGAAUACAUAGCAUAUCAGAAGGCACACCCGGAGAACUGAAACAUCUUAGUACCCGGAGGAAGAGAAAGAAAAUUCGAUUCCCUUAGUAGCGGCGAGCGAAACGGGAAGAGCCCAAACCAACAAGCUUGCUUGUUGGGGUUGUAGGACACUCURUACGGAGUUACAAAGGACGACAUUAGACGAAUCAUCUGGAAAGAUGAAUCAAAGAAGGUAAUAAUCCUGUAGUCGAAAAUGUUGUCUCUCUUGAGUGGAUCCUGAGUACGACGGAGCACGUGAAAUUCCGUCGGAAUCUGGGAGGACCAUCUCCUAAGGCUAAAUACUCUCUAGUGACCGAUAGUGAACCAGUACCGUGAGGGAAAGGUGAAAAGCACCCCGGAAGGGGAGUGAAAUAGAACCUGAAACCGUGUGCUUACAAGUAGUCAGAGCCCGUUAAUGGGUGAUGGCGUGCCUUUUGUAGAAUGAACCGGCGAGUUACGAUUUGAUGCAAGGUUAAGCAGUAAAUGUGGAGCCGUAGCGAAAGCGAGUCUGAAUAGGGCGUUUAGUAUUUGGUCGUAGACCCGAAACCAGGUGAUCUACCCUUGGUCAGGUUGAAGUUCAGGUAACACUGAAUGGAGGACCGAACCGACUUACGUUGAAAAGUGAGCGGAUGAACUGAGGGUAGCGGAGAAAUUCCAAUCGAACCUGGAGAUAGCUGGUUCUCUCCGAAAUAGCUUUAGGGCUAGCCUCAAGUGAUGAUUAUUGGAGGUAGAGCACUGUUUGGACGAGGGGCCCCUCUCGGGUUACCGAAUUCAGACAAACUCCGAAUGCCAAUUAAUUUAACUUGGGAGUCAGAACAUGGGUGAUAAGGUCCGUGUUCGAAAGGGAAACAGCCCAGACCACCAGCUAAGGUCCCAAAAUAUAUGUUAAGUGGAAAAGGAUGUGGCGUUGCCCAGACAACUAGGAUGUUGGCUUAGAAGCAGCCAUCAUUUAAAGAGUGCGUAAUAGCUCACUAGUCGAGUGACACUGCGCCGAAAAUGUACCGGGGCUAAACAUAUUACCGAAGCUGUGGAUUGUCCUUUGGACAAUGGUAGGAGAGCGUUCUAAGGGCGUUGAAGCAUGAUCGUAAGGACAUGUGGAGCGCUUAGAAGUGAGAAUGCCGGUGUGAGUAGCGAAAGACGGGUGAGAAUCCCGUCCACCGAUUGACUAAGGUUUCCAGAGGAAGGCUCGUCCGCUCUGGGUUAGUCGGGUCCUAAGCUGAGGCCGACAGGCGUAGGCGAUGGAUAACAGGUUGAUAUUCCUGUACCACCUAUAAUCGUUUUAAUCGAUGGGGGGACGCAGUAGGAUAGGCGAAGCGUGCGAUUGGAUUGCACGUCUAAGCAGUAAGGCUGAGUAUUAGGCAAAUCCGGUACUCGUUAAGGCUGAGCUGUGAUGGGGAGAAGACAUUGWGUCUUCGAGUCGUUGAUUUCACACUGCCGAGAAAAGCCUCUAGAUAGAAAAUAGGUGCCCGUACCGCAAACCGACACAGGUAGUCAAGAUGAGAAUUCUAAGGUGAGCGAGCGAACUCUCGUUAAGGAACUCGGCAAAAUGACCCCGUAACUUCGGGAGAAGGGGUGCUCUUUAGGGUUAACGCCCAGAAGAGCCGCAGUGAAUAGGCCCAAGCGACUGUUUAUCAAAAACACAGGUCUCUGCUAAACCGUAAGGUGAUGUAUAGGGGCUGACGCCUGCCCGGUGCUGGAAGGUUAAGAGGAGUGGUUAGCUUCUGCGAAGCUACGAAUCGAAGCCCCAGUAAACGGCGGCCGUAACUAUAACGGUCCUAAGGUAGCGAAAUUCCUUGUCGGGUAAGUUCCGACCCGCACGAAAGGCGUAACGAUUUGGGCACUGUCUCAACGAGAGACUCGGUGAAAUCAUAGUACCUGUGAAGAUGCAGGUUACCCGCGACAGGACGGAAAGACCCCGUGGAGCUUUACUGUAGCCUGAUAUUGAAAUUCGGCACAGCUUGUACAGGAUAGGUAGGAGCCUUUGAAACGUGAGCGCUAGCUUACGUGGAGGCGCUGGUGGGAUACUACCCUAGCUGUGUUGGCUUUCUAACCCGCACCACUUAUCGUGGUGGGAGACAGUGUCARGCGGGCAGUUUGACUGGGGCGGUCGCCUCCUAAAAGGUAACGGAGGCGCUCAAAGGUUCCCUCAGAAUGGUUGGAAAUCAUUCAUAGAGUGUAAAGGCAUAAGGGAGCUUGACUGCGAGACCUACAAGUCGAGCAGGGUCGAAAGACGGACUUAGUGAUCCGGUGGUUCCGCAUGGAAGGGCCAUCGCUCAACGGAUAAAAGCUACCCCGGGGAUAACAGGCUUAUCUCCCCCAAGAGUUCACAUCGACGGGGAGGUUUGGCACCUCGAUGUCGGCUCAUCGCAUCCUGGGGCUGUAGUCGGUCCCAAGGGUUGGGCUGUUCGCCCAUUAAAGCGGUACGCGAGCUGGGUUCAGAACGUCGUGAGACAGUUCGGUCCCUAUCCGUCGUGGGCGUAGGAAAUUUGAGAGGAGCUGUCCUUAGUACGAGAGGACCGGGAUGGACAUACCUCUGGUGUACCAGUUGUCGUGCCAACGGCAUAGCUGGGUAGCUAUGUGUGGACGGGAUAAGUGCUGAAAGCAUCUAAGCAUGAAGCCCCCCUCAAGAUGAGAUUUCCCAACUUCGGUUAUAAGAUCCCUCAAAGAUGAUGAGGUUAAUAGGUUCGAGGUGGAAGCAUGGUGACAUGUGGAGCUGACGAAUACUAAUCGAUCGAAGACUUAAUCAA
Molecule: ribosomal RNA, 2921 nt
Filed under: Staphylococcus aureus
Lineage: Bacteria; Bacillati; Bacillota; Bacilli; Caryophanales; Staphylococcaceae
Description: bacterial LSU rRNA
Source: RNAcentral